This 447-nucleotide ribosomal RNA is filed under the name uncultured bacterium. RNAcentral's name for it is "partial 16S ribosomal RNA". It matches the Rfam family "Bacterial small subunit ribosomal RNA", at positions 29 to 523 of the family's 1533-position model. The record is from RNAcentral.
AACGAACGCUGGCGGCAGGCUUAACACAUGCAAGUCGAGCGCCCCGCAAGGGGAGCGGCAGACGGGUGAGUAACGCGUGGGAAUCUACCCAUCUCUACGGAAUAACUCAGGGAAACUUGUGCUAAUACCGUAUACGCCCUUAGGGGGAAAGAUUUAUCGGAGAUGGAUGAGCCCGCGUUGGAUUAGCUAGUUGGUGGGGUAAAGGCCUACCAAGGCGACGAUCCAUAGCUGGUCUGAGAGGAUGAUCAGCCACAUUGGGACUGAGACACGGCCCAAACUCCUACGGGAGGCAGCAGUGGGGAAUAUUGGACAAUGGGCGCAAGCCUGAUCCAGCCAUGCCGCGUGAGUGAUGAAGGCCCUAGGGUUGUAAAGCUCUUUCACCGGAGAAGAUAAUGACGGUAUCCGGAGAAGAAGCCCCGGCUAACUUCGUGCCAGCCGCCGCCGUAA